Aegilops tauschii subsp. strangulata is the source of this 2604-nucleotide non-coding RNA. The record is from RefSeq and is a predicted model, not a curated record. NCBI's taxonomy places the organism in Eukaryota, Viridiplantae, Streptophyta, Magnoliopsida, Poales, Poaceae.
UUACCAUUAUCACGCUUGUUCAAUUCAAGAUCCAAAGGCAAGGUAUACAACAAGGAAGAAAUCAUUUCACUUAAUUUUUCACCACAUUCGGCAAGCUUCCCCAACAUUUCACAAUACUAGAUGACCCGUUGCGCCAAUGGCGCAAAGGCCGAGUGCGAGCCAAGUAUUGAAAGAGUGUGCAUUAAAAUAUGUAGACACAGAAUGAAACAUAUGGAAAUAAGUACGGAUUGAUGAUAGAUAGAUGGUUCAUGAUGAUACAUGUUUUCUAAGACGAAAAAAAACUGAUCCAAACCAAGAGUAAUCUGCAAACAAAAUUUUAAAAUAGUUUGACAAGUCUUAAGUCAUACUCCAUGCUAUAUCUCGGAGCUGUGUGUUAUUUACAAACUCUAGUAAAAGAUUAAUGAAUUUUGGAAUUUCAUAUCACCGGCUUACAAUUCAAACCCAAACUCGGGGCAUAUUUGAAUUCAAAUCUGAAAAAAGGCAGUCAAAUACUCCUGAAAAGUCUUGGACAUUUUCACAGUUAUAUAAGUAGUAGCAUAGGUGAAAUUUUUCAAGAUAUUUCUGAUGAGUUUUGAGCACUGAAAUUAAUACUGAGUAGAUUAUGAGGGAGUAGAGGAGGAAGAGAUAUUACAGUCAUUUUCAUUUUUUUUAUUUUGUUAUUUUUCUUUCAACCUUACUGACCAAUGGGUCCCUCUCGUGAACCCACCAGUCAGGCUGGCGACUCCCUGCCCCUUCACGUUUUACUCCUACUCCACUACCUCCCUCCUCGAUCCAUUUCGUCUUCCUCCUGGAUCCUCUUUCUGGUCGAGCUCGCCGGGGACACCGCGGCUCGCCGCAGCAACGCCAGCCAUAGGAACGGGCGGGAUCCACCGGCCCUCCGUCCGGCUCGACGUCCACGUCCCAGGGUCCAACAUGCAGGCCCGCUGGACAACGCCGUGAAUUGCCUCAUUUUUCCAGUGAGUCCUUGAUCCUAGGUACUUUCCCUAACUCUGUUCAGCUCCGGCCGUCGUUUUGAUGCUAUUCGUGGACAUCGAGCAUGCAGCAAACUUUUGGACCGAGGCCGCCUUCCUCUGUUCCGUCAGCCGCCGUUGCGACGCUGUCACGGUCGUCCUCCUCCCCGAGCAACUACAGGGACCGUGACGGGCCCCGCGUCUCCUCUGGACCAAGAAUUCGAAGCAGCGGGUCUCUCUCUCUCUCCUACUUCUUCCUUGAAGCUGACUGCCGUUGCUGCCGUCCUGAAUUCGCUGUCGUUCGUCCCCAUGCCGUCCAGCCUCGCUACAAACAGUAGGGGAGUUCUAGCGACACAUUAUACAAGGAGCUAUGGCAUGCUUGCGCUAGGCCGUUGAUCACAGUGCCUCGCCAAGGUGAAAGGAUUUACCACUUUCCGCAUGUUUACAUGGAACAGGAUGCUAGAGCACCUUCACUUCCCAAACAUAAUAAAGGCUGGCACUGCAAAAAAUCAGGGUGUCUCAAGAAGUACUGUGAAUGCUUUCAAGCAAAUAUUCUUUGCUCCAAGAAUUGUAAAUGUAUGGAUUGCAAGAACUUCAAAGGAAGUGAGGAACUAUAGGCUAUAACUCAAGGGGAUAAUGCAUCUGAUAGAAAUAACGUUCAGCAAACAGCUAAUGUCACUCUGAAUGGUGCCAUUGGAUCCUCUGGAUAUAAAUAUUCACAUGUACGUAGAGAAAGACACCCAGAAGACCCCCUUGGUCCUGAGGUAAUUUCAAGUUAGCUAGUUCUGCAACUUCAAGCAAUCUGCCAUUUUAAGUCAGAUCUCGUGUAACACAUCUAUUUUGUUGCUAGUUUCCUUUUAUUUCUGCUUCAACUAUAAAUCCAGUUGGGUGUACAUCCACUUGAUCACUGUUACUAAUUUUUUUAUCUAACUUCAGCUAUAAAUUUUGAUGAGCUGGUAAUUGUUUCAUGUGCUCUAGGCUAACCACUUGGAUGCUUCACAAGCUGCUUCUUCUAGUGGACUUGAAGGCCGUAUUGGUUGUCAGAGUAGAUCUAAAAUGGUCUAUAGAUGGUAACUGACGACGACGAUGAUAGCUCAGACGACAACGACAAUGAUGAAGCGUCAGUGAUGGACAAUGAAGCGGCAGCCAGAGCAAACGAUAUGUCGGUGGACGAGCCGAGGCCUUCCAAGCCUACCCCUGACGCUGAUGGGUGGACAGUUGUGCCACCGAAGCGCGGUGGCCGGGGCAAGAACUAAGCGCAGAAAGGAAACCAUGGCAACAAACUUGCCACUUGAGAGGCCGUUUUGGUCUGAAGGCUUUGAAGUGCGACUAGCAAUACCUUGGCAACCACUUGUGCCAUUCUGGCCUAGAGGUUUUCAAGUGUUGCACUCUGCCUGUAUCGCUUGGAUUUUGUCAGGAAUGUUGCUUGUGCAGCAUGUUUUUCUUUCUUGCUCUCUAGGUGUUCGACCGAUCCCCAGUCCGUCGACGGAUGCGGUGUCCGGUUUGUGAGAUCUCUGCAUGGUUUGAAAAAAAAAAUACCAAAGAAGCAUUUUGUUCUAUAAUAAACUUACUCCGUCUGUAAAAAAAUAUAAUCGCGUUUAGAUCACUUUAUAUUUUUCACGGAGGGAGUACAUGAAAAUAAAGGAUCGAUACA